RNAcentral lists this ribosomal RNA (944 nucleotides) under uncultured bacterium. RNAcentral describes it as "bacterial SSU rRNA". It matches the Rfam family "Bacterial small subunit ribosomal RNA", at positions 26 to 941 of the family's 1533-position model. The record is from RNAcentral.
AGAAUGAACGCUGGCGGCGUGCUUAACACAUGCAAGUCGCACGAGAACUCUUCUGCUUGCAGAAGAUAGUAAAGUGGCGCACGGGUGAGUAACGCGUGGGUAAUCUACCUCUGAAUUGGGGAUAACAUUGUGAAAGCGAUGCUAAUACCGAAUAAUAUCCCGAGAACCUAGGUUUUUGGGAUCAAAGGUGGCCUCUACAUGUAAGCUACUGUUUAGAGAUGAGCCCGCGUACCAUUAGCUUGUUGGUAGGGUAAUGGCCUACCAAGGCAACGAUGGUUAGCUGGUCUGAGAGGAUGAUCAGCCACACUGGAACUGACACACGGUCCAGACUCCUACGGGAGGCAGCAGUGAGGAAUUUUGCGCAAUGGGGGAAACCCUGACGCAGCAACGCCGCGUGAGUGAUGAAGGCUUUCGAGUCGUAAAGCUCUGUCAAGUGAGAAGAACCUGUCCCGCGAUAAUACCGCGGGAUACUGACGGUAUCACUGAAGGAAGCACCGGCUAACUCCGUGCCAGCAGCCGCGGUAAUACGGGGGGUGCAAGCGUUAUUCGGAAUUAUUGGGCGUAAAGGGCGCGUAGGCGGUCUUUUAAGUCAGAUGUGAAAGCCCGGGGCUCAACCCCGGAAGAGUAUUUGAAACUAAUGGACUUGAGUAUGGGAGAGGGAAGUGGAAUUCCUGGUGUAGAGGUGAAAUUCGUAGAUAUCAGGAGGAACACCGGUGGCGAAGGCGACUUCCUGGACCAAUACUGACGCUGAGGCGCGAAGGCGUGGGGAGCAAACAGGAUUAGAUACCCUGGUAGUCCACGCAGUAAACGGUGAACACUAGGUGUAGCGGGUAUUGACCCCUGCUGUGCCGCAGUUAACGCAUUAAGUGUUCCGCCUGGGGAGUACGACCGCAAGGUUAAAACUCAAAGGAAUUGACGGGGGCCCGCACAAGCGGUGGAGCAUG